Long non-coding RNA from Sarcophilus harrisii (Tasmanian devil), 3069 nucleotides. RefSeq lists it as uncharacterized. The record is from RefSeq and is a predicted model, not a curated record. The transcript is spliced from 7 exons. NCBI's taxonomy places the organism in Eukaryota, Metazoa, Chordata, Mammalia, Dasyuromorphia, Dasyuridae.
CAUCUUUCUGGCUUCAAGACCACUUCCCAUUUUCCUUUGGGGUUUUGCUCAUGGGUGUUUUAACAUUGUCCUCUUCUCAAUUUGUGAAUUGAUCUUCCAUGUCAUCAUAAUAACUUUUUAUGGUCAGAUUCUUAUUUUUUGGUUGAUGUUGAUAUGAAUAACUCUUUCCUAUUUGUAAGUAAAAUUGAGUUGAUUACCAAAAACUCCAGAAUACUACAGAGAAUUCCUCAAGGUUGCAUAAAUAGGCAUUAUCUGAGAUAGACUUUUAACACAUGUCUCUGUGUUCUAAUAUAUAUUAGAAUAUUGAAUUUUAAAUGUUUGGAGAAGCCAAAAAGGCAACAGGAUUAAUAGAUUUCUUUUUCAAAGGUGAGGAGCAAUUAGAGAUUAAGUAAUCUGUCAAAGAUCCUAAACUGGGGAUGUAGCCCCUCUCAUGGCUUCACACCUGGGAGUAUUAAUUAUAAGAUUUUUAAUAAUGCCUGAUUAGAAGAGUAUGGUAUACCUUGCAGUACUAUUACAGUUUUAACAAUUUAUUUUAAAUUGAUUCAAAUGAGAUUUAUUUGAAGAAUUGUGAAUUCUGUUAGCUUAAUUCAGACUGCCAAAAAUUUACAUUUGAAAGAAUGAAAAACAAAACCCAAUUUUUAAAUAGUUAGAAAAAUAUGAAUGUAUCAAUCAAAGGAGAUUUAGAAAGGAGAUUGAAAACCUCUUCUCAACAUUCCCAAGUAUGCUCAAACAUUACAAAUAGAUAAUCUUUCUACUUUCUACUAGUUUUUAAUGUUUCAGAACUUUUCCUCUUUGCUUUUUAAUCAUGUAUUUAGAUUGCUGUGAGUCAAACAACUAUCAGUUAAGUUAAUCUUAGUUUUGGUUACUUGUAAAUUUUAAGCCUGAUGUUAAAGUAUAAUGAUCUAUUGAACUUAACAAAUCCAAAUGUCAAGGAAAUGUUAUUACUUGGAUUGAUAUUUAUGGAAUAAAAGCUGAUGAAAUGUUUUAUGUUGUAGUUAAUAGCUUGUCUAUUGUAGUAAAUGUUUUCUGGAAUAUAGCAUUCCUAUAGACAAUUUUGUUUAUAGGAACAUAGGAUUUAAAAAAAAUUAAUCCCUUUCUAUCAACCUUUAUUUCCAUUGUUAUGUAUAAUUCAAUUUUCCUAAAAUACGUCAUUCUAAUUUUUGGAGAUCUUUUAUGAACCUAACAUGUAAACAACAUAAUAUUUAGAAAGUAUAUGGAAGGAUCAGAAAAUAUAUUUUAGAGGAAAGCUCUCUGAUAUUUUAAAUUGUAAUAGAAUGUUUGGAAAGUAACUUAUAGGGAUGUUGCUAGGUUUUUCUUUUUCAAAACUUCUCUGCUUUUUCUUCUGUCUGCUCAGACUGCACGAGGCCAUGACAUUCCUACAGUGGUAAGUAAACAUGUCAAACUCAUUUGCCAUGUGGUCCAAGGAGACCUUCCUUCUAUACACAGAAUUAUAGAUAUUAACAAUUAAAUUCUAGCACCAAACAGCUGUUUUUUACACACUUUUUAAGGGUAUAUUAGCUCAUGAUAUUUUAAAAGUUUAUUUUAGAUCGAAUGACUUGGUAGUGAAUAAUUAUUAAAUUUUAUUUAAUUACCAACUCUGCCAUCUUAACAACCCUGUUAUUGGGGAGAGGUAUAAAGUGAGUUAGCAUAUUUAGAUUGAUUUAUAUGUUAGUUCUAGGGCUUAUUGGGGACGUUGGCCCUAUCUCUUGUCCUUUAGUACUGGGAGAAAUAAAUUUACAGAUAGAAACCGACCUGGAUUUCUCCGGUCUGAACUCAGAUCACGCAGGACUUUAAUUGUUAAACAAACGUAAUCUGAAUGAGCAAAACAUCCUUCCUAAUGAUUUGUAAUUUCAAUCACUGUUCAAAAUGUCAAGUAGCAUUAUUGUUAUUGCAUUGUUUUUAAAAUCAGUUCAAAGGAGUAAUGAGUCCAAUGUGUGUUAACUCAAAGUUUUAAAAAGCCAUGUCUCAGCUGAUAUGCACUUGUCAAUGCUGCCUUGAUGCUUUUUUUCUCCUUUAUGAGGAUUUUUAUUUUCUCUCUGUGUUUAUUCUCUUUUUAAUCUCAUCUGAAUUGUACUCUUCAGAAUCAUAGUCUAUUCUGUUUAUCUUCAUGGAAUUCCUGCAUAAGAUGUAUACAACACAUGUGAGGAUCUAAUUUGGUCCUCAGUUACUUAUUUCCCAAGGAGCAAUUCUUUUAUUGCCAAUAUCUUUCCCAUCUUUUGUGGGAAAUUGAAACAAAUAGGGACUGACCAUUCAGUUUAGGACAUUAAAUUUGAUCAAUGCAGCUUAAACACAGUUCUAAAUUAUAGGCAAUUAAAACCCCAUGGUUAGAAAAGAAAGAGCCUAUUUAUGGAAAAAAUCUAUUGUAUGGUAUGAUUGAGGCAGCUCAAUGGCAUAUUACUUUUCAUUAUAGAAAUUGGUCAUAAAUAUAAACACGUAAUGAUGAAUAAACACCUAAUCCUUUAUUUCUAGUAUCUCUGCUGUCUUUCCAUCUCCCGAUCUUCAACAGAUAAAUUGGUGUUUGAUGAUGGGUUACAAGAAGACACAACAGCUGCUCCUAUGGAAUAUAGCUUUGCUGCAUUUUCCUGCUGGAUUUUGUUAGGAUUGUGAAGCAGCAGAUUAGACAGCCAUGUCACGGAUCCAGAUCAACAGAACAACAGCCUGUUCUAGAGUGGACCACCUCCCACUCCACAGAGAGUCCUGAUACAAACCUCAUGAGGUCUCAUCCUCAUACUGGGUCUGUCCAAACAAGUACUAAGGUGGCAGGACGCAGAGGAUGACAGCUCCCACAUCUCCCGCCAAAGGGGGCCUUGGAGAGAAAAGAUGACAGCUGAAGGGAGAAGGAUCUAGAGUGAGAAGGACUUAAUACAAGAAGACCAACCAGUGAAGUAUUACAGUAAUUCGGCUGUGCGAUGCAACCCAUAAGAGUAGAUGCUGUUAUCUUCCUAUUUUAUAGAGGGUGAAGACAAGGCAAACAGAAAGUGCAACUGUGUCCAGGUUCUUCACGCAUCUAGCAAAUGAUUGAGAAUUUAAUAAAGAACACAAGGAUGUGGAAGAGCAGGGUGAAAAAAA